ACCGAGUGUAGGGUUCCUAGCGAGCCCAACCUCCCACCCGUGUUUACUGUACCUUAGUUGCUUCGGCGGGCCCGCCAUUCAUGGCCGCCGGGGGCUCUCAGCCCCGGGCCCGCGCCCGCCGGAGACACCACGAACUCUGUCUGAUCUAGUGAAGUCUGAGUUGAUUGUAUCGCAAUCAGUUAAAACUUUCAACAAUGGAUCUCUUGGUUCCGGCAUCGAUGAAGAACGCAGCGAAAUGCGAUAACUAGUGUGAAUUGCAGAAUUCCGUGAAUCAUCGAGUCUUUGAACGCACAUUGCGCCCCCUGGUAUUCCGGGGGGCAUGCCUGUCCGAGCGUCAUUGCUGCCCAUCAAGCACGGCUUGUGUGUUGGGUCGUCGUCCCCUCUCCGGGGGGGACGGGCCCCAAAGGCAGCGGCGGCACCGCGUCCGAUCCUCGAGCGUAUGGGGCUUUGUCACCCGCUCUGUAGGCCCGGCCGGCGCUUGCCGAACGCAAAUCAAUCUUUU
RNAcentral lists this ribosomal RNA (502 nucleotides) under Aspergillus flavus. RNAcentral's name for it is "eukaryotic LSU rRNA". The stretch from base 184 to 337 matches the Rfam family "5.8S ribosomal RNA". The record is from RNAcentral. Lineage: Eukaryota; Fungi; Ascomycota; Eurotiomycetes; Eurotiales; Aspergillaceae.